This 61-nucleotide transfer RNA is filed under the name Clostridiales bacterium. Its description in RNAcentral is "tRNA-Met". It matches the Rfam family "tRNA", at positions 7 to 64 of the family's 71-position model. From Rfam's summary of the family: Transfer RNA (tRNA) molecules are approximately 80 nucleotides in length. Their secondary structure includes four short double-helical elements and three loops (D, anti-codon, and T loops). Further hydrogen bonds mediate the characteristic L-shaped molecular structure. tRNAs have two regions of fundamental functional importance: the anti-codon, which is responsible for specific mRNA codon recognition, and the 3' end, to which the tRNAs corresponding amino acid is attached (by aminoacyl-tRNA synthetases). tRNAs cope with the degeneracy of the genetic code in two manners: having more than one tRNA (with a specific anti-codon) for a particular amino acid; and 'wobble' base-pairing, i.e. permitting non-standard base-pairing at the 3rd anti-codon position. The record is from RNAcentral. Lineage: Bacteria; Bacillati; Bacillota; Clostridia; Eubacteriales.
UUAGCUCAGUUGGUCAGAGCUACCGGCUCAUAACCGGUUGGUCCGGGGUUCGAGUCCCUGA